UAUAAAUGCUGUUAUAACUUUAUUCUCUUCUUUGAUUUUUGAAUAGAAGUGCUCUAUGUAUUUGUAACUUGUGGUCUAAAAGGACAAGGAGCUCUGAAUCACACUGGGACCCUCUUUACUGGUAUUGCUAACACAGUUGGAUUCCUGUACUGUAAAGGUGGUAAAGAUGAAGGAGCUACAAAUGACUAGGCUUAAGGAACAGGAAGGUAAAAAGCUAUGCAAUUCCGUGAUUCAAAUGAUUUUGGAGAGUCUUAGCUGAUAAAAAUCAUCACAAAACCAUCAGAAGCAAAACAACUCGAUGACUUAGAGCAGCUGUGUGGUCAUACUUUUUUAAGGGUUCAGCUGGCACAAGCAGCUUCAGUUGUUACAGACCUCUUUCCACUCCUUAUGCAAGAAGGUGGCGAGUUUUAUUUGUGCUGCUUCCACCUCAGCAGUUUUGCAGUGUCAGAUAUGUGGUAUCAAAUCUCCAGAGGAAACACAAAGGUUAGUCCUGGAAAAGAUGACAUUCCUGAAGGAAAGAGAAAAUAAGCACAAGGUUUUCUGGGGUGCAGUAGGUUAAUUGGUGUCUCUGAAAAUUAGGCUGUAAGUGGGUAUUGUUUCAGUUAGAAAAUAGAUUGGGUUUAUGAGGCAGUUCUUUUUAUAUGAUUGAAUUAACUCUAAGCUUCUUUAUGAGCUAUUUAUAUUGAUGUCCAAAUCUUCUGCUAGCAAAAGGAAAAUACUUUCUGAGGAUGUAAUUAAUUUGUU
Molecule: long non-coding RNA, 744 nt
Filed under: Cyanistes caeruleus (blue tit)
Lineage: Eukaryota; Metazoa; Chordata; Aves; Passeriformes; Paridae
Description: lncRNA (ENSCCEG00000001263.1)
Source: RNAcentral